GAUGAACGCUGGCGGCGUGCCUAAUACAUGCAAGUCGAGCGAACAGACGAGGAGCUUGCUCCUCUGACGUUAGCGGCGGACGGGUGAGUAACACGUGGAUAACCUACCUAUAAGACUGGGAUAACUUCGGGAAACCGGAGCUAAUACCGGAUAAUAUAUUGAACCGCAUGGUUCAAUAGUGAAAGACGGUUUUGCUGUCACUUAUAGAUGGAUCCGCGCCGCAUUAGCUAGUUGGUAAGGUAACGGCUUACCAAGGCAACGAUGCGUAGCCGACCUGGGAGGGUGAUCGGCCACUGGAGCUGAGACACGGUCCAGACUCCUACGGGAGGCAGCAGUAGGGAAUCUUCCGCAAUGGGCGAAAGCCUGACGGAGCAACGCCGCGUGAGUGAUGAAGGUCUUCGGAUCGUAAAACUCUGUUAUUAGGGAAGAACAAAUGUGUAAGUAACUAUGCACGUCUUGACGGUACCUAAUCAGAAAGCCACGGCUAACUACGUG
RNAcentral lists this ribosomal RNA (495 nucleotides) under uncultured bacterium. RNAcentral describes it as "partial 16S ribosomal RNA". It matches the Rfam family "Bacterial small subunit ribosomal RNA", at positions 28 to 507 of the family's 1533-position model. The record is from RNAcentral.